UGGGGAAUAUUGGACAAUGGGCGCAAGCCUGAUCCAGCCAUGCCGCGUGAGUGAUGAAGGCCCUAGGGUUGUAAAGCUCUUUCAACGGUGAAGAUAAUGACGGUAACCGUAGAAGAAGCCCCGGCUAACUACGUGCCAGCAGCCGCGGUAAUACGUAGGGUGCAAGCGUUAAUCGGAAUUACUGGGCGUAAAGCGUGCGCAGGCGGUUUUGUAAGACGGAUGUGAAAUCCCCGGGCUUAACCCGGGAACUGCAUUCGUGACUGCAAGGCUAGAGUAUGGCAGAGGGGGGUAGAAUUCCACGUGUAGCAGUGUACUGCGUAGAGAUGGGGAGGAAUACCGAUGGCGCAGGCAGCCCCCUGGGCCAAUACUGACGUUCAUGCACGAAAGCGUG
This 391-nucleotide ribosomal RNA is filed under the name uncultured bacterium. RNAcentral's name for it is "bacterial SSU rRNA". It matches the Rfam family "Bacterial small subunit ribosomal RNA", at positions 355 to 763 of the family's 1533-position model. The record is from RNAcentral.